GGGAACGAACUCCGAAUAGAGAACCAGAUUCCUAAUCCGGGGGUCGCGCGUUCGAAUCGCGCCGGGAUCGCCA
RNAcentral lists this transfer RNA (73 nucleotides) under Ensifer meliloti. RNAcentral's name for it is "Sinorhizobium meliloti tRNA-Arg". Lineage: Bacteria; Pseudomonadati; Pseudomonadota; Alphaproteobacteria; Hyphomicrobiales; Rhizobiaceae. The record is from RNAcentral.